UCUACGGGAGGCAGCAGUGGGGAAUAUUGGGCAAUGGGCGCAAGCCUGACCCAGCAACGCCGCGUGAAGGAAGAAGGCUUUCGGGUUGUAAACUUCUUUUAUGAGGGACGAAACAAAUGACGGUACCUCAUGAAUAAGCCACGGCUAACUACGUGCCAGCAGCCGCGGUAAUACGUAGGUGGCAAGCGUUAUCCGGAUUUACUGGGUGUAAAGGGCGUGUAGGCGGGACUGCAAGUCAGAUGUGAAAAUUAUGGGCUCAACCCAUAACCUGCAUUUGAAACUGUAGUUCUUGAGUGAUGGAGAGG
Molecule: ribosomal RNA, 305 nt
Filed under: uncultured bacterium
Lineage: Bacteria
Description: bacterial SSU rRNA
Rfam family: Bacterial small subunit ribosomal RNA
Source: RNAcentral